Molecule: long non-coding RNA, 336 nt
Filed under: Ricinus communis (castor bean)
Lineage: Eukaryota; Viridiplantae; Streptophyta; Magnoliopsida; Malpighiales; Euphorbiaceae
Description: long non-coding RNA (RCOM_LNC003196)
Source: RNAcentral
CAACAUAAGAACCCCAAAUGGGUUUGACAAUUUAGUUCCUCAUACUAAUAAGCAACACAAAGUAAAGAAUAGAUUCAGAAAAGUAAAUUAAAGGCAUGUACACCCUUCUUCUUCAAGUUGGAUGAGAAACCCUAAAUUCCCAAUUUAGAAUAGUAGACCCUAAUUUGCUUCUUGAAUGUUCCCAAAUCUUGUCUUGAUCUUCAAUUUGAUGUUAAAACAGUUGUAAUCCUUCCUUCAAUAGAUGAAAUGAUCUUCUAAGGUCGAGUAUUGAAGUAUGGAAGAAGAUGGUUUAAGCUUGUAUAAUGGAAAUCAAGUCAGAAAAUCGAACCCUAAUUC